Molecule: long non-coding RNA, 195 nt
Organism: Silurus meridionalis
Lineage: Eukaryota; Metazoa; Chordata; Actinopteri; Siluriformes; Siluridae
Exons: 3
Source: RefSeq, a predicted model, not a curated record
UGGACGUCGAUCUGUUUCAAAAGAGGGAGAAAUGUCCAGUGCAGGUCCACGACCAGUCGAAACUUUCCGGUGGACCACAGAAACGUCUUUGUGGAUUCCACCCUCCUAAAGUGUUCAUUUCAGACUUUCAGGUCGUAAGUGUUCCACCUGCUGCAAGUGUUCCACCUGCUUUACUCCACUCCUACUGCUGUAGCG